AACGAACGCUGGCGGCAUGCCUAACACAUGCAAGUCGAACGAGACCUUCGGGUCUAGUGGCGCACGGGUGCGUAACGCGUGGGAACCUGCCCUUAGGUUCGGAAUAACUCCCCGAAAGGGGUGCUAAUACCGGAUAAUGUCUUCGGACCAAAGAUUUAUCGCCUUUGGAUGGGCCCGCGUUGGAUUAGCUAGUUGGUAGGGUAAAAGCCUACCACGGCGACGAUCAAUAGCUGGUCUGAGAGGAUGAUCAGCCACACUGGGACUGAGACACGGCCGAGACUCCUACGGGAGGCAGCAGUGGGGAAUAUUGGACAAUGGGCGAAAGCCUGAUGCAGCAAGGCCGCGUGAGUGAUGAAGGCCUUAGGGUUGUAAAGCUCUUGUACCCGGGAUGAUAAUGACAGUACCGGGAGAAUAAGCGCCGGCUAACUCCGUG
This 433-nucleotide ribosomal RNA is filed under the name uncultured bacterium. RNAcentral's name for it is "partial 16S ribosomal RNA". It matches the Rfam family "Bacterial small subunit ribosomal RNA", at positions 29 to 507 of the family's 1533-position model. The record is from RNAcentral.